AUGACAACCUGGUUGAUCCUGCCAGUAGUCAUAUGCUUGUCUCAAAGAUUAAGCCAUGCAUGUCUACGUACAAGCCGAAAUAAGGUGAAACCGCGAAAGGCUCAUUAAAUCAGUUAUGGUUCCUUAGAUCGUACCCACAUUUACUUGGAUAACUGUGGUAAUUCUAGAGNUAAUACAUGCAAACAGAGCCCCGACCGGAGACGGAAGGGGUGCUUUUAUUAGAUCAAAACCAAUNGGNGGCGUUCGCGNGUNGUNGUAUUCUUUGGUGACUNUGAAUAACUUGUUGCUGAUCGCACGGUCUCGUACCGGCGACGCAUCUUUCAAAUGUCUGCCUUAUCAACUGUCGAUGGUAGGAUCUGCUCCUACCAUGGUUGUAACGGGUAACGGGGAAUCAGGGUUCGAUUCCGGAGAGGGAGCCUGAGAAACGGCUACCACAUCCNANGAANGCANCANGCGCGCAAAUUACCCACUCCCGGCACGGGGAGGUAGUGACGA
RNAcentral lists this ribosomal RNA (495 nucleotides) under Ptinella sp. IBE-AN439. RNAcentral describes it as "partial 18S ribosomal RNA". It matches the Rfam family "Eukaryotic small subunit ribosomal RNA", at positions 1 to 473 of the family's 1831-position model. Lineage: Eukaryota; Metazoa; Arthropoda; Insecta; Coleoptera; Ptiliidae. The record is from RNAcentral.